GUGAAGGACCUCAGCCAUCCCAACAACAGACUGUUCUCUCUGCUGAGGUCAGGAAAGCGAUUCCGCUCCCUGAAGACCAACACAGAGAGACUGAGGAGGAGCUUCUUCCCGCAGGCGAUACGGUCUCUCAAUCACACCACCACACAGUACUGACCCACACAUAUGGUUCUUACACACACACUGGACUUUCUGGACAUUGUUUUUGCACACAUUGUUUUUUUGCACAACACUGGUCACUAUAUUCUUCAUUUCCGGUUAAUACUUGUACAGCUGCUGUUAUUGUGUAUAUAUUUAUUUAUAUUUAGAUUUCUUCAUACAUUCUUAUAUAUAGAUCUAUAUUGUGUAUUUUGUUGUACAGUUAUUUUAUUUUCAACUUUAAUUUAUAUAUUUUAUCUUAUUCUUCCCAGUUAAAUUUACCCUUCAUUCUAAUUUGUGUUGUACAGUUAUUUCAUUUUUAACCUUAAUUUAUAUUUUAUUCCUUCUUAGUUAAAUUUACCCUUUUUAAUUUUUCAUAUUUAUUUCCUAUCUUAUUCAUAGCCUUUUCCUUUUUUUGUUUUCUUUAGGUCACGAGCAGUUGUCCAAGCAUUUCACUACAUAUCGUACUGUGUAUGACUGUGUACGUGACAAAUAAAAUUUGAAUUUUUUUUUUUUUUUGAGUAGGCUAGGCUUGGUUUUAGUUUUAGCAUAUGCUUUAAUUUCAUAGAUCCUUUAGCUGAGAUGUUUGUUUUUCGUUUUUGUUUUUACUAUUUUUGCCUCUGAUUAUGGUUGACACAGUUGUUUGGCAAGUAGAAGGUAAAUGGUUUGAUUCCAAAUGGAGGGAGUAGCUAAAGGUUGAUUUUUCAGUUCAUGUAUUAUCACGGAGUUGUCAUACCCUAAAUUGUACCUAUCUGGUUACAUUAGUGGUUACAAUUAAAGUGCAUGACCAUCUAACACUUUGACAUGCUCACACGUGUUGUAGAUUUUUUUUUAUUUCCCACUUUACUGUAAGCAUAUGACUGUUUUCUGGUGUAUUUUGGUGUCACUUCUAUCUCAUAGCCAGCUCUGGAUUUAAAAAAAAUGAUUUAAUCCUAUUACAAUGAACAGUUAUUCAUAUGGUUCUAUGAAAUGUGAGCAACAACAUAGCCUUGAGAGGGAGGAAAGUUAUCUAAAGGCAAAACACGACCCUGAAAAUUCAGAAGCAUGAAAACUAGCUUAGUAAUUAGAUGCUAAAUUAGUCCAUGUGGACCAAUUAGGCAAGACAAGACAUGGGGGCUCUGUAAUGCUUUGUCAACAGAAAUGAAACCAGUACAAGGAGACAGACGGGUUGAGGAUGAACAAGUCUGAAUGAGAGACAGAAAAGGGAGGGUGGCAUGAG
Molecule: long non-coding RNA, 1354 nt
Organism: Astatotilapia calliptera (eastern happy)
Lineage: Eukaryota; Metazoa; Chordata; Actinopteri; Cichliformes; Cichlidae
Source: Ensembl